Long non-coding RNA from Acinonyx jubatus (cheetah), 1069 nucleotides. RefSeq lists it as uncharacterized. The record is from RefSeq and is a predicted model, not a curated record. The transcript is spliced from 3 exons. Lineage: Eukaryota; Metazoa; Chordata; Mammalia; Carnivora; Felidae.
AAUAAGCCUCAGCAAAAGCUGCCCCUGCUCCGUGUGUAAAACAGCAGUGGCUCCCAGAGGGGCAGCUCUCCACUCAGAAAGAACUCCCCCUGUGAGGCCAGUUGAUGGAGUGUUUUCUGGGCACGUUUUCUCAUUGAAUCCUGAGUAUGGCUCUGUAAGCUACUGCCAAUAGCUCUUGUUGCCACCAGCAACCUUAUCCAAAAGAGAACAUUUCCGGCCCAGCAUUCCAAGCAGGAGUCCUGAGACCCACUCUGCCUGGAUUGCAUCACAUGCCCACCUGAACUCUUAGGUGCAGUUCAAAUGGCAUUAGACUGCGCAGUGCAACCUGACCCUUGAUGGGUUCAGAACGGCUUGUCCUCCCCUCGUCAGAGGAGUGCAAUAUGCAGGGGCACUCAGGGUAUCACCGUGAUGGAGCUGGAGCCCCGGGACAGAAAAGCCUGAGCAAGCCACACAGGUCAAAUCCUGGUGGAAAGUGUUCAGGCUCCAACAACCUGUCUGCAACCUCUGCUGUCCAUAAUGGUGUGACUUCCAGCAAAGCCAGUUAAUGAAGAGAAUAGCCCUUACUCAUAAGGGCAGAGUAGGGAGCAAAUCAGAUGACAAACGUGAAGGCUUAUUGUUGACCUCAUUAAAUGUUAGUUGCUUUCUCCCCUAUUUGUGAGUGUGGCGAUUUUAUUUCAUAGCAACUUGCUAAGCUACAAUUGGGGUUCCCAGAACACCCUUUCCUGGAGGGUUCCAAGCAGGCACCAGCCCCUAGGAGACUAGGAAGGUGAAAGGGACAGCAGGCUGCGGGCGCGCCGGGAAGGUCCGUGCCGGGCUUCAGGUGCUACUGCCGCGCAUGCGUGUUGUUGAUGGCUUAGGGGGCAGUAGCUGGGCUCCUGGGAGUAGCUUCCUCCAGCACCCCUGAGUCCGGGGCCCCUGCGCAUGCACCAAUUUGGCAAAAUGCACAAGCUGCUUCUAAGGAUCACUGCAUCGUUAAGGUUGUGAGUGGUGAGAAAUAAAUACAAAUCCCAGCUUCUCCUCAAGGGUUCCGGGUUGCCCGGGUUCGAGUUUCCUCUUAAUUUCUCCCACU